This is a long non-coding RNA of Oncorhynchus keta (chum salmon), 1403 nucleotides long. RefSeq lists it as uncharacterized. Lineage: Eukaryota; Metazoa; Chordata; Actinopteri; Salmoniformes; Salmonidae. The transcript has 3 exons. The record is from RefSeq and is a predicted model, not a curated record.
AGAGGGAGGAAGGAGUGGAAGAGCACCGGGGUCAGUUAGACUCAAAUGAAUCUCCUUCCCCAGACACGUCACGGCAUUGGCUUAACCUCCCAACCAAUAACCUCCCACAACACCUUCCCACUAACCCGGAUAGUACACGUCUUCCAUACGGGGUCUUGCCUCCAUUUGGAGCCCCGCCUCGCAGUCAUGUGAUUCGCUCAAAUUAAAAUUAUCACCUAUACUUUACUUAAUAAGAUCACGCCCAUAGAAUGAAGAACUCCUAUGAAUGGUUGAUGUCCCAGGGUUAAAUGCUACGUGUAACAACUGUGUUGUUGUCUGUUCACACUGCUUUGCUUCAUCUUGGUCAGGUCACAGUUGUAAAUGAGAACUUGUUCUCAACUAGCCUACCUGGUUAAAUAAAAGGUGAAAUAAAAAAAAUAUGCACAAAAUCCUGGGGAUGAGGCCAGGUGUGACCAACACCAUUUCAUCUCACCUUCCUAUAGAGAAUUCUCAUAAGACAACAACUUGGCUUAUAAAAGGUAGCGAGCUAAGAGCUCCUUCGGCAGUGAGGAUAUAAAGGUAGCGAGCUAAGAGCUCCUUCGGCAGUGAGGAUAUAAAAGGUAGCGAGCUAAGAGCUCCUUCGGCAGUGAGGAUAUAAAGGUAGCGAGCUAGGAGCUCCUUCGGCAGUGAGGAUAUAAAGGUAGCGAGCUAGGAGCUCCUUCGGCAGUGAGGAUAUAAAGGUAGCGAGCUAGGAGCUCCUUCGGCAGUGAGGAUAUAAAGGUAGCGAGCUAGGAGCUCCUUCGGCAGUGAGGAUAUAAAGGUAGCGAGCUAGGAGCUCCUUCGGCAGUGAGGAUAUAAAGGUAGCGAGCUAGGAGCUCCUUCGGCAGUGAGGAUAUAAAGGUAGCGAGCUAGGAGCUCCUUCAGCAGUGAGGAUAUAAAGGUAGCGAGCUAAGAGCUCCUUCAGCAGUGAGGAUAUAAAGGUAGCGAGCUAGGAGCUCCUUCAGCAGUGAGGAUAUAAAGGUAGCGAGCUAAGAGCUCCUUCAGCAGUGAGGAUAUAAAGGUAGCGAGCGAGGAGCUCCUUCAGCAGUGAGGAUAUAAAGGUAGCGAGCUAGGAGCUCCUUCAGCAGUGAGGAUAAAGGUGGCGAUCUAAGAGCUCCUUCAGCAGUGAGGAUAUAAAAGGUAGCGAGCUAGGAGCUCCUUCAGCAGUGAGGAUAUAAAGGUAGCGAGCUAAGAGCUCCUUCAGCAGUGAGGAUAUAAAGGUAGCGAGCUAAGAGCUCCUUCAGCAGUGAGGAUAUAAAGGUAGCGAGCUAAGAGCUCCUUCAGCAGUGAGGAUAUAAAGGUGGCGAUCUAAGAGUUCCUUCAGCAGUGAGGAUAUAAAGGUGGCGAUCUAAGAGCGCCUUCAGCAGUGAGGAUAUAGAGGUAGC